This 63-nucleotide ribosomal RNA is filed under the name Fusarium asiaticum. RNAcentral's name for it is "partial 28S ribosomal RNA". Lineage: Eukaryota; Fungi; Ascomycota; Sordariomycetes; Hypocreales; Nectriaceae. The record is from RNAcentral.
UUGACCUCGGAUCAGGUAGGAAUACCCGCUGAACUUAAGCAUAUCAAUAAGCGGAGGAAUGUG